ACGAGAGCUCCCCCCCACAGCAGCACCCAAACACGGGGGGCCAACGAGGAGCCCCCCAACCCCCACUGCAGCUCCCACAGCCCUCCACCCCCACCGCCAGGAGCGGGAAGCCUUCUUCACCCUGCUGGAUGAUGACGUGGUGCAGGAGUUCCUGGCUACAGAUGUGUGUUGCAGGGUGUCCGAUAAGUACCUGCUGGCGAUGGCGCUGACGUACUUCAAGCGGGCUGGCUUGCCCACCAGCGAGUACACCCGCCUCAACCUCUUCACCGCCCUGUACUUAGCGAACGACAUGGAGGAGGAUGAGGAGGAGCACAAGUACCGCAUCUUCCCCCUGGGCGCUCGGCCACCGCUGGCACCGGCUCUUUCCCCCGCUUCCUCCGACGCCGCGACCACCUCUGGGCCCGCAUGAGUUACCGAGCGGCCGUCAGCC
Falco peregrinus (peregrine falcon) is the source of this 430-nucleotide long non-coding RNA. RefSeq lists it as uncharacterized. The record is from RefSeq and is a predicted model, not a curated record. The transcript has 4 exons. Lineage: Eukaryota; Metazoa; Chordata; Aves; Falconiformes; Falconidae.